This 465-nucleotide ribosomal RNA is filed under the name Vreelandella stevensii. Its description in RNAcentral is "partial 16S ribosomal RNA". It matches the Rfam family "Bacterial small subunit ribosomal RNA", at positions 338 to 795 of the family's 1533-position model. Lineage: Bacteria; Pseudomonadati; Pseudomonadota; Gammaproteobacteria; Oceanospirillales; Halomonadaceae. The record is from RNAcentral.
CCUACGGGUGGCUGCAGUGGGGAAUAUUGGACAAUGGGGGCAACCCUGAUCCAGCCAUGCCGCGUGUGUGAAGAAGGCCCUCGGGUUGUAAAGCACUUUCAGCGAGGAAGAACGCCUGGUGGUUAAUACCCAUCAGGAAAGACAUCACUCACAGAAGAAGCACCGGCUAACUCCGUGCCAGCAGCCGCGGUAAUACGGAGGGUGCGAGCGUUAAUCGGAAUUACUGGGCGUAAAGCGCGCGUAGGUGGCUUGAUAAGCCGGUUGUGAAAGCCCCGGGCUCAACCUGGGAACGGCAUCCGGAACUGUCAAGCUAGAGUGCAGGAGAGGAAGGUAGAAUUCCCGGUGUAGCGGUGAAAUGCGUAGAGAUCGGGAGGAAUACCAGUGGCGAAGGCGGCCUUCUGGACUGACACUGACACUGAGGUGCGAAAGCGUGGGUAGCAAACAGGAUUAGAUACCCCUGUAGUC